Molecule: transfer RNA, 106 nt
Organism: Puccinia sorghi
Lineage: Eukaryota; Fungi; Basidiomycota; Pucciniomycetes; Pucciniales; Pucciniaceae
Rfam family: tRNA
About the family: Transfer RNA (tRNA) molecules are approximately 80 nucleotides in length. Their secondary structure includes four short double-helical elements and three loops (D, anti-codon, and T loops).
Source: Rfam
GUGGGCGUCUUCUAAUGGUUAGGAAAUCUCGUUGUGGUUUCGGAUUCAUUGUAUCAGCGUAUCCAACAAUUCCGUGAAAAUGUCGGUUCGAUUCCGGCCGCCCACA